Molecule: microRNA, 20 nt
Filed under: Corchorus capsularis
Lineage: Eukaryota; Viridiplantae; Streptophyta; Magnoliopsida; Malvales; Malvaceae
Description: sRNA CCACVL1_29504
Source: RNAcentral
AUUUCAUUUUAACCAAAAAA